AUCACGUACACUGACGGAACGUCACGGAAGGACAUCCGGCGGAAGCAGCUAGCUAAGUAGCAGCUAGCUAACAGUGGUAAAUAUCUCAUGUGGAAACGAGCGACAACGUCUUCGGUUCAGUGUCUGAGAGCGUUUGUCACCGAGCGACUGACUGCUGCUGCAUAAAUACUCGGAGCCUUAGUGAAAAUAGUCGUUGAGUAUCAGGAAGAGAUCGAUCGGCAGCGCAGACUGUUGACAGUUUAGAAUCCCAGUGGAUCGCUGGAAAACCCGAUAGAAAACUACACCCAAAACGUUGACCUCUUUCAACAUGUCACUGAGCAGGAGACGCACUUGAGUUUGGACCGAACCGAUCCCCGGCUUCCACACAUAAAGCAAGAACGGGAAGAACUGGACACAGUGGAGGUCGUUCUGAAGCAGGAGACUGAGACGUUUAUGUUGAAUUCUACUUAUGAGGAAAGCGAGAGUGACCCCGAACCGAACAGUGACGGUGACGGUGAGCUGCUCUGUCACAGCUGUGGCGCAGAGACAGGAGGAGGACGCUGCGUGGACGCGGGACCCACCGGAAACAGCCUCUCUGUGACGUUCACACUGGCGAAAAGUCUAGCGAAUGUAGCUUUUAAGUAUAAGUACAACUUAAAGAGACAUCUUAGAAUCCACACUGGUGAGAAGCCGUGUGUCUGCAGCGCCUGUGGGAAAAGGUUCAGUCAGACGUCAAUACUGAAGAGGCGUGUGAAGAUUCACACAGGUGAGAAGCCAUAUUCCUGCACAAUCUGCCCUAAAAGCUUCUGUCAGAAAAGCCACAAACAUUCACACACGCGAAGCAUCCAACACCUGAACUAUUUCAGUCUUGCCGGUUAAUUUUCGAGAACCAUUUUGCGUCUAGCAGCACGCAGGUGCAGCUGUUAGCCGCUAGCUGCUAGCUGAGAACUGUAGCAUAGCAAUGUGUGACUGGUGGAGACGUUUGAUCGUUUGUGGUCUACAUUUUAUACAGGUGUCUAAUGUAGUUUAUAGCUGCAGGUCACUGUAACAUGCGACUUGUCUGUUUAGAAGCUGAGAAACCGCGGUAAAAUGACAAACUAUACAGUAAAAGUAUUUAUUUGCUGUGGUACUAAACAGAACUGUGAAGGAAUUGUGAUAUACCCAAUUUGAACAGAGUCAUUUUAUUCAAAUCCAAGUUUUAGAAUAGAGGCCAAUUCCCUCUUUAUAUUUUCACGUGGGUUCUCUGCGGGUUCCCCGGGUUCCUCCCACGGUCCAAAAACAUGCAUUAGGUUCACUGGUCACUCCAGAUUUCCCUCAGGUGCGUGUUGCCCUGCGAUGGGCUGGCGACCUGUGCAGGUGUUCCCUGCACGUGGCCGGUGACGGCUGAGAUACGCUCAGGCACCGACGUGACCCGCGUGGGAACAAGUUGACAUUGUGAGAAAGAUGCUGUGCUGGAGCUAAACCUUGUCAUUCUGGGGGAAAAACAAUUCCAAACUGAAAUACUUGUUUUAACACUUUCAACAGUUAUCUGGUAAUAUAAUCAUUAUUAAAGUAAUGCUUUAUUUAAAAUCUUUACUGCAAAAUGUGUUUACCUAAAUAAACAACUGUUUUCACUGGAAGACAUUUAUUUUACAUUGAAAUAUAUAAACUUCAUUUACACAUAAUUCAAUCCACCAAUGUUCAAACUUACAAAUCGAUUUAAAAAACCUAAUACUAGUAACCUAGGCUUUUCUCACAUAAUCCACUUGUAGGUGCUGUCAUUCUUGUUUGGAGUUUUCUCACCUGGGUAAUGAACAAAUCCUGGUUGUGGUUGGCAUCUGAUUGGACCCUCACACACAGGUGACACAGGCAGACUCUCACCAGUGUGGCUCAGCUUAUGCCCUUUCAGUUCUAAUGAAUAAACACGUUUCUUCCACAGAUGCUGCAGGGAAACGCCCUCUCACCUGUGUAAUUUCUUGUGCCUCACCAGGUUUGAUGAGCUACUAAAUGUUUUCUUACAGGUGCUGCAGAAGUAUGACUUCUCACCUGUGUGGCUCACCAUGUGCUGUUUCAGGUGUGAUGGGCUAGUGAAUCUUUUUCCACAGAUGCUGCAGGGAUACUGCUUCUCACUUGUGUGUAAUUUCUUGUGCCUCACCAGGUUUGAUGAGCUACUAAAUGUUUUGUUACAGGUGGAGCAUGACUUCUCACCCGUGUGCAUUUUCAUGUGAACCAACAAGUUACUGCUAAAUAUAAAGCUUUUCCCACAUACUUUGCACAGGUGUGCAUUUGCACCUGUGUGGGGUUUCUUAUGAGCCAACAAGUUACUGCUAAACACGAAGCGUUUACCACUGUCUUCACGUAUUUUCACCUUCACACCUGUGUGGGUUUUCUCAUGACUACUCAGGGUUGACUUUUUUAGGAAUGCUCUACCAGUGGUGCUGCAAACGAAAGGUAUCUGACGUGUGUGAUCUCUUAAAUGAGCAGUCAGUGAUGAUUUCACACUGUACUUAUUCCCACAGAUGUCACAACUAUAUGGUUUUUCUCCUGUGUGGCUCAGCAUAUGCUCUUUCAAUCUUGAUGGGAUAAUAAAUUUUUUACCACAGGUGCUGCACACAUGGGGCUUCUCCCCUGUGUGGAUCAUCAUGUGUCUUUUCAACACUGACCUGUCACCAAAUCUUUUGUCGCACAUGCUGCAGAGGUACGGCUUCUCACCAGUGUGGAUUAUCAUGUGUCUUUCCAGUGAUGAUUUCAGAUUGUAUUGUUUCCCACAGAGGUUGCAACAAUAUGGUUUCUCCCCUGUGUGAACUCUUAAAUGAGCUUUUAAUGAUGAUGCCAGAAUGAAUCUUUUAUCACAGAAGCUACAACAAUAUGGCUUCUCACCUGUGUGGAUCAUCAUGUGUCUUUUCAACACUGAGCUCUCACUAAAUCUUCUGUCGCACAUGCUGCAGAGGUACGGCUUCUCACCAGUGUGGAUUAUCAUGUGUCUUUCCAGUUUAGAUGAGCAAAUAAAGGUUUUCUUACAAGUGCUGCAACUAAAUUGCUUCUCGUCUGGGUUGGUUUUCAGAUGUCCUCUCAAUUUAAACCUAGACUUGAAACCUUUUCCACACGUGAAAGAUGUUUUACGUGUGGAAUUACUAGAACGGGGUUCUGACAUGGGAGCGUUGUCUGUGUUGUCCCGAUGACUUGUGCUGCCUUGAUACUCUGUCUCUGCUUCUCUCAUUGAUCCCACAUCUACAUGUGGACUUCCUUCCUGAGCUUGACCCUCAGCUACAGGAGAGCCAUGAGAGAAGAGCUGGUCAUCACUGAUUGGUUCUGAUUCACUGUGGUAACUUCCAUCAUGAACCGGAGUCAACAUGAAGUCCUCAGUCUCUUCCUUCAGCACAAUCUGCUCUAUCUCCUGACUGGUGCCGGGUUCCUCCUGCUCCUCUUUAAUCCGUAGAGGCUCUUUUUGGUCCAGACUUGAAUUAACCUUCUGGUUAAUCAGACCCUCCUCCUCUUUACAGACGUGCUGUGGGAUCUCUGGAAGUACAGAAACAGACAAACCCCGCGUUAUGCCAGCUUUUGGCUGAGCAGUGGCCUGCUAGCUCAGUAGGUAAAGCAUUGGUUUGAUCCCUGGCUCUGGCACCAAAACACCACUCUAGCUGUAAUUGUCUGCCCACUGUUCUCCCAGGGAAUGGGUCACAUGCAGAGACAAAUACUGUUACCAUGUACCUGUACAUGUUUAAUGUGCAAGAAAUGUCAAUAAUAUUCUAUUGCACACAUCAUAUUCAAUAAUGUAAUUCAUAUCUUGGAACCAAUUAACCUUAACAACGCUUAGAUUUUUUGAGGAGUUUCCUUUUUAAUUCAGCUCCAUGUUUUGACCAAGUUACUGUUCCUGUUGCAAUAAAGUUAAUUUCAUCAUGUAAACCUCA
This is a long non-coding RNA of Betta splendens (Siamese fighting fish), 3869 nucleotides long. RefSeq lists it as uncharacterized. Lineage: Eukaryota; Metazoa; Chordata; Actinopteri; Anabantiformes; Osphronemidae. The transcript has 2 exons. The record is from RefSeq and is a predicted model, not a curated record.